RNAcentral lists this long non-coding RNA (2921 nucleotides) under Marmota monax (woodchuck). Lineage: Eukaryota; Metazoa; Chordata; Mammalia; Rodentia; Sciuridae. The record is from RNAcentral.
UUAAGAAGAUGUAUGUCUUCAUCCAAGAUACUGAGAAAAAUAGUAAAAAGGUAGUGUUAUGAUAAACAACUGAAAAUCUUUAGCUAUUAUCUGCCCCUGAUUAUGUGAUAUUUUCUAAUUAUUGUUUUUCAAUCAGAAAUUCAGAAAGUAUUCACCUACUUGAUAUAUCAUCCAUCCUACACUAUUUCUUUUAGCUCACAAAAUUAAGAUAACCUUGUUCAGUGUUUUAAAAUCAGAAUAUUUCCCUAUUUAAAAAUGGAAUAUACCAAAGGUAAUUUUGGUUAUAUUUUACAGUUUAAAAAUUUUUGGAUUGUAGAGUAAAUGAUACUUCUUAUAGAUUGUUAUAAUUUAGAAAUUCAUUUUCUCCCAAAAGUCCAUGUAUUCAAGGCUUGCCCCCCCCCCACCCCACCAAUGGGGCUACUGGGAGGUGGUGGAACUUUUAGGAGGUGGGGCCUGAUGGAAGGAAGUCAAGUCUUUGGCUCCCCCUCCUCUCCUUGUUUUUCCUAGCUGUCAUGGGAUAAGCAGCUUUGGUUUACCACACAGUUCCCUCCAUGAUUUUCUGCUUUGCCACCAUCCACAACGCAAUAAAGCCAGCUUACCAUAAACCAAAACCUCUGAAACUCUGAGCCAAAAUAGACCUUUCCUCCUUUAAAGUGGAUUUCUCUCAGAUAUUUCUCACAGCAAUGGAAAUCUAACACAGAGAUGAUUUAGAAUUAGUUAGGUAAUAUACUACCCACAGAAGAAAUAAGACUCAUAGAACACUAGUUUCUGUUUUUGUCUUACAUAUAAUAAUAACAGUGUGUGCAUUUAUCUUCCAUUUUAUAUAAAUUCAAAACACAUGCACAAGAGGCUACCAUUCUACCUGCUGGAAGGUCUUAUUUGCAAGAUGUGUGUGUGUGUGUGUGUGUGUGUGUGUGUUUCUUCCCUCCCUCCCUUUCUUCCUUCCUUUCUUCCUCUGUCUCUUUUGCAGUUCUGAUGAUCAUACCCAUAGUUUCAUGCAUGCUAGGCAAGCAUUUAACCACAGAGCUAUGCCCCCAGCUCCAUAUUCUACAGUUUUACUUGUAAAAAAAUCUAACAGGAGUAGUAAUUUCUUCAGAGUAGUGAAAUAGUCCAAAUUAGUUCACACUGGAAGAUUUUUCUGUGAUUGCUAGGGAUUCCUCAAUGAAAUAUUUAAAAAAAAGAAGAAGAAGAAAUAAAGGGUGCAAGUAAAUUUCUUACUUUCGUAUAUAUAGAAAUUCAAAUCAAUAUUAACUACAACUGGAAACUAUUUUAAGUGAAAUAAUAAAUGUAUGUAAAAUCUAAACUCAAAAUGACAUUUCUAUAUUAAUUAUCCUGUGUCUGCAAAGAAAGAAAUACAAACGAUUAAAAGUUGAAAACAUCAGUAGGAGAGAGGCACAAGAGUGUCAUAAGUUUAUAAUUUUUUACUUAUGAAUGUGUCUUGCAUUUAGACAGCUAGUAUGCACUCAUAUUCUUGGCAAAAUACAUUUAAAUGCCAGUAAAAUGGUUAUAUAACUAAAUCAGUGUAAAAUAAAUAUCUAAAGCUAAAAGUAAUUUAUAGCAGCUACUUCCUAAUCACUCUUUUUGUCAGGUUGUUACUAUUUAGUUUAUAUUGCUACUUUUGGCACUUUAAACAGAGUAGUUUUCUCAUCUUUCAUACUGUCACCUCCCAAAGUACAUGUGCUCCAUGCCUGGCCUACUCAUGUUUUCAGUCCCAUAUGUGUUACAGACUGCGCUGUGGUAUAUGGGACAAGAGUUUGAAAUUAUCAUUAGAGAUGGGUGUUAGUUUUUCAUCUUACAAAUGAUUGAAGUAGAAAACAAAAAGAUAUUUUGUCAGUAUAGACAAAUACAUUCUAGAUGCAUAACAGUGAUGACUCAUUCCCAAUCUUUCUAAAGGCUGAAAUGUCCAUCCCUUACUGGAGGCUCUGACCCAACCAGUGUUGGGGGGUUCUUUUAAGGGACUCCUGGGUAAAGAGAACAGAGGCAAUGUGAUGAUUCUUCCUCAUGCUGUGUGCUUUUAAUGCAUGCAUUAAAGGGCUGUAGUUCCUUUACUUGAGGAGCUUAUUGUUUUUGCUGGGUCUUAGUCAAAUUGUAUCAUUUGCUCCUAGUGAUAAGGUACAUUAUUAAUGUCCUUAUACUUUGAUUUUUCUAAUUUGAACAACUCAGAUGAUAAUACAUGCUUGGCUUUUUGUAUGGUGGACUAACAUAAUUCUAGUAGGGUUUUCCUUUCUUUUCCAUUUUAUAAAUAAAAUUGUAUCAUUUGUACAUUAAAAAUGAUUAUUAUUCCCCAUGUUUCUUAGCACCUGUGUAAUAAUCUUGUUUUUAUUUCUUUUCCAAGAUAGAAAUAAGUGAGUAAUAUACUGUUACUUACCACCAAUUAAAUGUUCUUUUUAAUCUCAUUCUCUUUUCUAUUUGCUUUCCUAGAAAUAAUGAUUAUUAAAAUAAGAUUAUAAUUAAAAGGAAAUAUUUAAAAAUAGGGGGAGAAUAAAGAAGAGGAAAAAGAGAGUUACUAGAGAACAAAAUUGACCAAAUUUUAUUGUUAAAUUGUGUGCAUUUACAAAUAUGUGACAAUGAAUUCUAGUAUGUCUAACUAUAAUGCACAAAUACAGCAUAGCUUGAAAAAUAAAAAAUAAAUAAUAACCUUUUCCUUAGCAUUUAAAUCUUUAUAUAAUCUGUGAAAAUAAUAAAAUUUAAGUAGUAAAAUGCAUCCAUCUAACAUUCAAGUGAUUUCAUUUCUUCUUUUUUUUUAUUGGUUGUUCAAAACAUUACAAAGCUCAUGACAUAUCAUCUUCCAUACAUUUGAUUCAAGUGGGUUAUGAACUCCCUCAUUUCUUCUAACUAUGAUACAAACUUAGGGAUAGGAGUUUACUCAAACCAAGCAUCUUUGGCUAUUUAAUGUCACAGGUAAUAGGUAGAGUGUUCCC